GAUGAAGAACGCAGCGAAAUGCGAUAAGUAGUGUGAAUUGCAGAAUUCAGUGAAUCAUCGAAUCUUUGAACGCACAUUGCGCCCCCUGGUAUUCCGGGGGGCAUGCCUGUCCGAGCGUCAUUACAACCCUCAAGCUCAGCUUGGUGUUGGGCCCCGCUGCCCCGGCGGGCCCUAAAGUCAGUGGCGGUGCCGUCCGGCUCCGAGCGUAGUAAUUCUUCUCGCUCUGGAGGUCCGGUCGUGUGCUCGCCAGCAACCCCCAAUUUUUUUCAGGUUGACCUCGGAUCAGGUAGGGAUACCCGCUGAACUUAAGCAUAUCAAUAAGCGGAGGA
RNAcentral lists this unclassified non-coding RNA (329 nucleotides) under soil metagenome. RNAcentral's name for it is "partial contains 5.8S ribosomal RNA, internal transcribed spacer 2, and large subunit ribosomal RNA". The stretch from base 1 to 120 matches the Rfam family "5.8S ribosomal RNA", at positions 35 to 154 of the family's 154-position model. The record is from RNAcentral.